GCGUAAUUGGUUUAGUGGUAAAAUUCUCCGUUGCCAUCCGCAAUAUCGGGGAGCCCUGGGUUCGAUUCCCAGAUUACGCA
Molecule: non-coding RNA, 80 nt
Organism: Claviceps sorghi
Lineage: Eukaryota; Fungi; Ascomycota; Sordariomycetes; Hypocreales; Clavicipitaceae
Source: the annotation of a GenBank genome assembly